This is a long non-coding RNA of Amphibalanus amphitrite, 1179 nucleotides long. RefSeq lists it as uncharacterized. The record is from RefSeq and is a predicted model, not a curated record. The transcript is spliced from 2 exons. NCBI's taxonomy places the organism in Eukaryota, Metazoa, Arthropoda, Thecostraca, Balanomorpha, Balanidae.
GAAUUUGGUGUGCACACUGGUGUGGAUACCAGGUCACAAUGGCAUUGUGGGGAAUGUGCGAGCCGAUUACUGGGCUGGGAAAGCACAUGACAAACCAGAUAUUACUAGGGUGGCAGUAGGGCACCAGGAAUAUACACCAGAAGUGCGCCGAUGUGUGCGACAUCAAUUUGCGACUCUGUGGCAGGAGUUUCGACAAACCCAUCUGAAGAUAAUCAAGCCUACCAUUGGUCAGUGGAUGUCUAGCAAACGGGGCAAUCAGCGCUGGUUCUAACGCCUUCCUCACUGCUUAUUUGACGAAAGUAGUUCAGGUUAUUUAACCAUUAUCUAAGUUUGACCUUCUAUCAUUUCCACGCUAAUUCCUCCCCACGCUAUUUCCACACCUCUUGUGUCUCCUUGUCCCUGCCUAAACUAUGCUUAGUACCGCUUAGUACCGAUUCCAACAAUAUCGAACGACGAAUUGAAGACCGAAACAAGUCUGCGAAGUUGGACGCUUGAGCCUGACGGCUACGCGCCCUAAUCCACGAAGAAGAAGAAGAAGGGAGAGGUGGGGCAGGAAAAUUGCGAUCGAGCAGCCACUGCACUGGGACGUGGAUUGGUAUUAUCUAACCGCAGUACGUCAGUACGUCCCGGGCGGCCGGCGAGGUCGGGUCGGGCCCCGGAGCUCCGGUAUGUUUGACAGGUCGGCGGCCGCGCGCGGUCAGAGUGGCGGUCGAGUAGUAGACCCUGUGCGGGCGCGCUACGGCCCGUGGCCAGAGUAAGUGAACGGUCAUCCAGCCGCGAAAUGUGAUUCUGCGCUUGCUGUGACGCGGUGCAUUUUGUGCUUUGCUGUUGUGAGACGCAAUGAUGGACUCUGCGUCUGCACUCAGCGAUUCAGACGACACUGCGUUUCAGCUGGCUUGUGCCAGCCCCGGUCCUACGGUCCGUAAGCGGCAGCGUUCUGUUGGGGACAUGUUUCGUCGCAUGGAUCAGAAGAAACAGAGAUACGUCUCUCUUAAAGGAAAAGAGCAAGUAAUUAAAGACGCGGAGUUUUUGGAAGACAUCAAAGCAAUGAUGAAAAGUUGCAUCGAGGAAAGUAACGAAAAGUUGUGGCAGAAAAUGGAAAACAAGAUCUCGUCGUACGAAAACAGGCAGGGUUUGGUGUUUGCAUAUUUGUCCAUGAACAGUUUGUGAACAAUGUAA